AGGACGAACGCUGGCGGCGUGCCUAAUGCAUGCAAGUCGCACGCACCGAGCUUGCUCGGUGAGUGGCGCACGGCUGAGGAUCACGUGGGAACAUGCCUCCUUGUGGGGGACAACCCCGCGAAAGCGGGGCUAAUCCCGCAUACGCUCGUCGUAAGGCGAGGAAAGCGUGUAAACGCGCAGGGAGAGUGGCCCGCGGCCCAGUCAGGUCGUUGGUGGGGUAAUGGCCUACCAAGCCGGUGACGGGUAGCUGGUCUGUGAGGACAGACAGCCAGACUGGGACUGAGACACGGCCCAGACUCCUACGGGAGGCAGCAGCAAGGAAUUUCGCAAUGGGCGCAAGCCUGAACGAGCAACGCCGCGUGGAGAUGACGGCUCGGUUGUAACUCCUUUUCGGGACGAGUAAUGACGGUACCCGGAAGUAAGCGUCGGCUAACUC
RNAcentral lists this ribosomal RNA (436 nucleotides) under uncultured soil bacterium. RNAcentral's name for it is "bacterial SSU rRNA". It matches the Rfam family "Bacterial small subunit ribosomal RNA", at positions 26 to 503 of the family's 1533-position model. The record is from RNAcentral.